UACCUCACCCUUCUAGAGGCCUGCACCCAGGAGGGGUGACUUGGCUCAUCCACCAUGCAGCGUGGGUGCCUCGGGGAACCAACGUGUCCCGUGAAUGCCGUGAUUUAUACAUCUUAUAGAUGCAGAGUAUCGGGGGUAUAUUAUCCUACGGGAAGGUGAAGAUAAAAUCGGGAACUGCUGAUUCCCAGGGCCCCCGUCCCUUCCUUGCUCCCCUGAGAGCAUUUAAUCUAGUGCCAGCGUUUUACCAGUCUCCUCAGGACCUGUCCCUUCCAGACCCUGUAGUCUUCAUUUUCCAAGUGAUGCCUGAUUUUUAAUGCUGUGUGUGUGAAUUUUUAAAAAAUAUUUGCUGCUUUUACAGUUAAUCCUCUUUUUCUGAAAAAUGCCUGUUGGUUUGGGCUAUGAUCUCUGAUCGCACUGUCAUACUGACAUAUGUGGACUUUUUUAAUCUUGAGGGAUGAAUAGGAGGUGAACAACGAAAGGUCAGGUGAAGAAUCCUGACAGUGGUCUCCGGAGUUUGAAAAGGAAUAGUUUCCUCAUUUGUCAUCUCAUGUGAUGUGCAAACUAGAAUUUAGUUUGUAUUGAAUGGAAGAUGCUGUCGAAGAUUUGAGUACUUGUUAUGGCUAAAAAGCUCUGAAUCACAGAGGAGGGAUUGUACAAGUCUCACAGAUACAUGGGCUUGGUUUUUCGCUGUUCUUGGGAUUUCAUAUGUCUAGUGAAACUCUGGGCAGUAACUAACGUCAUCUGGACCAUUACAGAGACCAGGUGACCAAUUUGUUUAGAGCUGAAACCUUGUAACUCCCCACCCUGAGCAGAACAGAGCGGACACCCUGAAGGGAAUCCAGCUGCUCAGCGGAGUUCGAGCGAGAGAGUUUGCUGCAUUGAGAGAAGGAAUGUAAAGUGCAAAGGCAUGAGCAGCACUAAUGGUAUAGUCAUCACUCAAGCACAGGAGGACCAUGUCCAUGAGACUGAGCUUGCGGCUGGGUCUCACCCAUCCUUUGGUAUCUGUUGCUGACCACCGUGACGCAGGAAUGCAGCGAAGGUCAAUUCCCCUGGUGUUUAUUUUCACUGCUUUGAGGAACAUGCCCAUAAAUUAUAGUUGAAGUGGAAGAGAGGAGAGAUGUGGUGGAGAAAAGAAGAGAAAGACCAACAGGUCAGUCCUCCAGUGGACACUCCUUUUUGCUUCAGAUUCUUUGAGGUGAAAGGGACCUUACAGGUAAUGGGAUCCACUUCUCCCUCUUCCCCUGCCCUGUGCCCCCUAUGUUGAGAGAACUGCUGGUGGGUAGGACCCUGGCUGACUCAGUGUUUUGAGGGUCCUGCCGUGUUGUUGAGACCUUGCAGAACAUUCUGUGAACAUUCUUCAUACCUGUCAUGGAUUUUGAUGUAGAUUUCAUUUUCAGAACACACUGAUGUGAUAAUACAAUGUUUUUAGUUAGCUGAUAAAUAAAGACUUUUAAAAAACA
This 1460-nucleotide long non-coding RNA is filed under the name Heterocephalus glaber (naked mole-rat). RNAcentral describes it as "lncRNA (ENSHGLG00100052069.1)". The record is from RNAcentral. Lineage: Eukaryota; Metazoa; Chordata; Mammalia; Rodentia; Bathyergidae.